This 60-nucleotide unclassified non-coding RNA is filed under the name synthetic construct. The record is from RNAcentral.
GGAGAAUGAACUUCAGGGUCAGCUUGCUGAUGAGGCGCUUCGGCGCCGAAACACCGUGUC